UAGCCUAGCGGUUAUGGCUAUGGAUCGCCAAUCCGGAGACGGCGGGUUCAAUUCCCGU
Non-coding RNA from Aedes albopictus (Asian tiger mosquito), 58 nucleotides. Lineage: Eukaryota; Metazoa; Arthropoda; Insecta; Diptera; Culicidae. The record is from Rfam.